Mus musculus (house mouse) is the source of this 358-nucleotide long non-coding RNA. RefSeq annotates it as predicted gene, 37004. The transcript is spliced from 2 exons. Lineage: Eukaryota; Metazoa; Chordata; Mammalia; Rodentia; Muridae. The record is from RefSeq and is a predicted model, not a curated record.
ACUCAGUCUGGUGUUCCGCUGCAUGUGCAGAAACAAAGAAAAAGUUCAUCAGCCCCGACCUUGCCCUGUUGCCGACUUCUCGGUUUGAGUAUUAGGUGACCUGAACUGAGCUGUGUUGAAUUGCCUGCUUUACAGGAAACCACCAUCCUAACUGCUCCUCUCUCUUCAACCAACACCCAAAGCCACUGCCAAUGUCUAGGGGAUGAGACUUCACAAGGGAGUGCCAGCAUACACAACAAAGGAAGAUUUGAAGACACACAGUUCCUGUCCUUACAUUUAUGGCAACAUUGAUUAAAAUUAUCAUUGUAAUUCCAAUGCCUAAAUGUUUAUUUAAUAAAGAAUUUGGUUUUCCAAGGUC